CUUGGUCUUUGUUUUGGGGCCGAGGAUGACCAUCGGGCUGGAGGCGCUACCGGACGCCAUCAUGACGGUCGCACCCGGUCUAGUUUCCUCGCGGAUCCGACUCUCCUUGUUCCUGCUCCGGUCCCUGCGAUCAGAGGUUUUGAGGAACAGCUCUUGAUCCGUCAUGACAGCUCAGAAACGGCAGGAAUGUGUGUGUUGCACCUGACUAGCCUACUGUAUGCGUCAUGUGGUCUAUGAAUGGGCAGGGGGGCACGGUGGCUUAGUGGUUAGCACGUUCGCUUCACACCUCCAGGGUUGGGGGUUUGAUUCCAGCUUCCGACUUGUGUGUGUGGAGUUUGCAUGUUCUCCCCGUGCCUCGGGGGUUUCCUCCGGGUACUCCGGUUUCCUCCCCUGGUCCAAAGACAUGCAUGUUUAUUUUCAGUUCUUGCACACUUUAUGUUUCCGUUUCAAGGACCCACAUCGACUGGCACACACAUUGAUAUGACAGAAU
Molecule: long non-coding RNA, 490 nt
Organism: Triplophysa dalaica
Lineage: Eukaryota; Metazoa; Chordata; Actinopteri; Cypriniformes; Nemacheilidae
Exons: 4
Source: RefSeq, a predicted model, not a curated record